GAUUUCUGACUUGGCGCACCUGGCCCGCCACGGUUACGUGUGUGAGUGCCGGGAUGCGCCUGUCACUUUUCUAGUAAACUAUUGUGCUCUUCAUUGAGUGCGAUAGGUAGCUAGAUAUUUUACUUUGAAAAAAUUAGAGUGUUUAAAGCAGGCGUUUGCUAUGAAUACAUUAGCAUGGAAUAAUAAGUUAGGACUUCGGUUCUAUUUUGUUGGUUUCUAGGACUGAAGUAAUGAUUGAUAGGGAUAGUUGGGGGUGCUAGUAUUCAGCGGCCAGAGGUGAAAUUCUCGGAUUCGCUGAAGACUAACUUAUGCGAAAGCAUU
RNAcentral lists this ribosomal RNA (321 nucleotides) under uncultured Sandona. RNAcentral describes it as "SSU rRNA". The stretch from base 57 to 321 matches the Rfam family "Eukaryotic small subunit ribosomal RNA", at positions 689 to 955 of the family's 1831-position model. RNAcentral also lists the same sequence under 1 other name. The record is from RNAcentral. Lineage: Eukaryota; Cercozoa; Glissomonadida.